Sarcophilus harrisii (Tasmanian devil) is the source of this 59-nucleotide non-coding RNA. The record is from Rfam. NCBI's taxonomy places the organism in Eukaryota, Metazoa, Chordata, Mammalia, Dasyuromorphia, Dasyuridae.
AGUGUAGAGAGGGGUGAGGUUGCUGUGAUAUAUCAGGUAAUUCACCCUUCUCUCACUAA